GAAAGUAAACACAGUACCAGGAAGCAGCAAUCUGGGGAGGCAAAGGAGGGCCAGGGGACAGAAGAGGGCAUUGCAAAAUGAUGUCCCCUGUUUCGAGAGACGAUAGGAAUCUCCCUCACAGGCGAAGGUGCCACUCAGAAUCAGUUCUUUCUUACAAGUCCUUACAAAACAAUCCAGAGAAGUUGGAGAGCAUAAAGGAGGAGUCAUCCCUGCUUACAUCGUCCACAGGAAAGAAAUCGAGGAAGGCACCCAGGAGGAGAGCAGGUUUGAUCAUAGGAUGCUUCAUAUUAAUAUCAUGGUCUCUUGCAAUGACUAUUGCAGUAAUAAUCCUAGCUUCUAGGAAUCCUAAGUGUAAAGAUCCAUGUCCUGAUAACUGGCUGCUCUACAAAGGAAAAUGUUACUACAUUUCUGAUGAAGUGAAGUAUUGGGAGACUAGUGAGGAAUUCUGUUCUCAACAAGAUGCUUUACUUGCUGUAAUUGAAAACAAAGAGGAAUUGAAUUUUAUAGAAAAGCUUGCUUGCAGGAAGGAUGCAUGGAUUGGACUCCACAAGACAAAGGGAAAACUCUUUUGGGUAAAUGGUACAGCAUUAAAUACAAGUCUGUUGGAAGUAAAGGGUUCUGGUGAAUGUGCUUAUGUUGAAACAAAUAUUAUCUCUACCUCUGGAUGUACAUUACCUAGGAACUGGAUGUGUAAAAAGAAACCUGAGUGACUGGGAGCCCAGUGCAGGAGUACAAGACAGAGUGUGACUCCAGGAAUUUUCCCCUUCCCAGGGAAUGAAAAAAGGCUAAGAGGAGUGAAAGUUUGUCUUGAUUUUUAUUUUACUGGGUUUUUCGUUAUAGGUUUGUGACACUAGGAACCCCUCAAUGCCAAUUUGCAAAGGGUUCAUUGUUCUAUAACAGUAACUUCUGACAGGCCUGACAAACUCUCUGCACCUAAAAUAUUGCUUUCAUAGUAUUUAUCCAAAAAGGGUCAAGUG
Molecule: long non-coding RNA, 977 nt
Organism: Emys orbicularis (European pond turtle)
Lineage: Eukaryota; Metazoa; Chordata; Testudines; Emydidae
Exons: 5
Source: RefSeq, a predicted model, not a curated record